CAAUAGAACCCAAGGGUGUAUGGUGGAUGCCUUGACACUAAGAGGCGAUGAAGGACGUGGCGUAGCUGCGAUAAGCGAGGGGGAGGCGUGUAGCAACCUUUGAUCCCUCGAUUUCCGAAUGAGGCAACUCACACAGUUUGAAGACUGUGUACUCUACGAUGUAGAGAGCGAACCCGGGGAAGUGAAACAUCUCAGUACUCGGAGGAAAAAAGAACAAUAGUUAUUCCCGAAGUAGCGGCGAGCGAAAGGGGAAGAGCCCAAACCUGUAUGCGCCACAGGUAAUCUUCGUAAGAGGAUUUCCUGUGGCAUGUAUAGGGGUUGUAGGGUAGAGACUGGCGUAAGCCGGAAAGUUACAAAUUGUACGUAUAGAAGAAUUUGCUGGAAAGCAAAGCCCCAGAGGGUGAUAGCCCCGUAGUCGAAAUGCGAACAACUUUUUUGUCUCUAUACCUGAGUACUCCAAGACACGAAUAGCUUGGAGGAAGCUAGCGGAACUAACCGUUAAGGCUAAAUACUACUUAGUGAUCGAUAGUGAACUAGUACCGUGAGGGAAAGGUGAAAAAUAGUCCGGGAGGACGUUGAAAUAGAUCUGAAACCAUACAUCUACAAGGAGUCAGCGAGGUCAGCAUAUUGCGCGAGAACAUAUCUCGUCGUGUCACGUUUGUGAUACUUCGAGCUUUCGUACGUAAUAUGCUGACCUCCAUGGCGUGCCUAUUGAAGAAUGAGCCAACGAGUUAAUGCAUGCGGUUGCCUAAACCCAUCCGGGGUGGAGGCUUAGGGAAACCGAGUAUGAAUAGUGCGAAUAUAUCGUAUGCAUUAGACCCGAAACCUGGUGAGCUUGCCAUGAGCAGGGUGAAGUUUGUAGAAAUACAGAUGAAGGCCCGAACUGGUUAGUCGUGCGACUCUAUCGGAUGACUUGUGGCAAGGAGUGAAAAGCUAAUCGAACUGGGAAAUAGCUGGUUCUCUCCGAAAUAUGUUUUGGCAUAGCGUCUGAAGUACCCCUGGGGGGUAGAGCACUGGAUGGGCUGAAUAGGGAGAAAUCUCGUCAGCUCAACCAAACUCCGAAUACCCAGGAUUAACGUUUCAGGCAGUAAGACUCCGGGGGCGAAGCUCCGGUGGUCAAAAGGGAAACAGCCCAGAUCUCAAGUUAAGGUCCCUAAAUCUAUGCUCAGUGCAGUUUGAAGGUGGUGGGGUUUCUUCGACAGUGAGGAGGUUGGCUUAGAAGCAGCCAUCCUUUAAAGAAAGCGUAACAGCUCACUCACUAAGAGACCCUGCGCCGAAGAUAAUCGGGGCUAAGCAUAGUACCGAAACUGAGGACUUGUCGUUUUUUCGAAAACGGGGAGUGGUAGGAGAGCGUUCCAAUCCGCGUUGAAGCUCAAGCCGUGAGGCAGGGUGGAGCGUUUGGAAGUGCGUAUGUUGGCACAAGUAACCGCAAUGCAGGUGAGAAUCCUGCACGCCGAAAGACUAAGGUUUCCUUUGCGAUGAUAAUCAGCGAAGGGUUAGUCGGUCCUAAGGGGAUGGUGAUAACCGAACCCGAUGGAUACAUGGUUAAUAUUCCAUG
Molecule: ribosomal RNA, 1558 nt
Filed under: Candidatus Lloydbacteria bacterium RIFCSPHIGHO2_02_FULL_50_18
Lineage: Bacteria; Candidatus Lloydiibacteriota
Description: bacterial LSU rRNA
Rfam family: Bacterial large subunit ribosomal RNA
Source: RNAcentral